AUUGAACGCUGGCGGCAUGCUUUACACAUGCAAGUCGAACGGCAGCGCGGGCUUCGGCCUGGCGGCGAGUGGCGAACGGGUGAGUAAUGCAUCGGAACGUGCCCAGUAGUGGUGGAUAGCCCGGCGAAAGCCGGAUUAAUACCCCAUACGACCUUACGGUGAAAGCGGGGGAGCGAGAGGCCUCCGGCUAUUGGAGCGGCCGAUGUCGGAUUGGCUAGUUGGUGGGGUAAAGGCUUACCAAGGCGACGAUCCGUAUCUGGUCUGAGAGGAGGACCAGCCACACUGGGACUGAGACACGGCCCAGACUCCUACGGGAGGCAGCAGUGGGGAAGUUUGGAAAAUGGGGGGAACACUGAUCCAGCGAUGCCGCGUGCGGGAAGAAGGCCUUCGGGUUGUAAACCGCUUUUGUUCGGGAAGAAAUCCUCUGGGCUAAUACCACGGGGGGAUGACGGUACCGGAAGAAUAAGCACCGGCUAACUACGUG
Molecule: ribosomal RNA, 484 nt
Filed under: uncultured bacterium
Lineage: Bacteria
Description: partial 16S ribosomal RNA
Rfam family: Bacterial small subunit ribosomal RNA
Source: RNAcentral